CUCAACUACCAAGAAUUUAUGCCUUGGGCAUGCGUGGGAGGAAGGAGAAGUCAGCACCUCCAAUCUUCAAAGGCAACCAAACAUCAAAAUACUGGGGGUCUACGAGCCGGAAACAAAUACAGCAGCAACUCGAACUCGCCGCCGUGGGACCUCAUCUGGCUCACCAUGCGAGUGGCCCGGCCGGUCCGUCAACCUGCCGUCGAAACCGCCCCAGUCUCGGUCACCUCGGCCUCGCAUUCGAAUAUGGCGAAUCCUAACCAGUUGAGUGCGUAACGCGUAUCACGCCCGUCGUUGCUGCCUAUGGAUCCGCGCACUGUGGCCCACUGGGUCCCAGCCAAAGGUCCACUUAAUUUCAGUUCCCACCGCUAUACGGGUGAAAUACAGUCAAAUCGUACCUGUGCAAAUCCCAUACGGCCGUACGUAAGCCACCCGUGAGACCCGUAGCUACACCACCACCACCACCCAUCGCCACCAUCACUCCAUCGGAUUUCAAAUUUUGAAUCCCCUCAGCCAGAUUCUGCUUCUCUCCCCGGUGACCCACUUGCGACGCCCCAUCGCACAAACGCCGUCGGGACUGUCGUCGCCGGUCUCAAGUUCGCCGCCAUCCAAAACAAUCAAUCCUCAUGGGGAAUCUCUCACAGAUCUGUUAUUCAGCUUUCGCUCCGCUCCCUUCGAUCCGGUCUACGUUCCAGUCUAGGGAACGCCAGAGGAAGAUGAAUGUUGGUCGCCAACAAGGCACUCCGGUGCUCCUUCAUCGUUAGAGGAUUGGGUUCCUUCCCCGUCCAGCGACGGACAAGUGAAGUGCCUGAGUCAAAUUCAGAUGUCUCGUCUACUCUGUGGAUUGCAAGGUACAGUUCUUGUUACUACUCGAUUUUUUCCAAUCUAGGUGGAUUCCCAGUACAGAUUUAGGGGGGCUUAUUUUCUUCUAUUAUUGGGCCCGCUGCCCCGGAUGUCUAAUAUCGAGUUAGGAAAUUUUCGUGAUUUGGAGUUUGUCGUUAAACCAACAGACCAGUCAAGAGUUUGAUUCUCUUGCAAGAGCUUACAACUUAUACUCUUCAGAAAAAAGGAUUUGGAAUUAAGUACGGUGAAUGUGGACGAAACGUCCACAAAUGCAAGCCUGCCCAGAACAUAAUUUGCGGAUGCGCGUGAGUUAGUUUCAUACGACAUCGACAGUCACAGAGAACCGUCCUCUGAAUCGCAACGCACUCCAGCUCCGUGGUAGGCAAGGUACUAUCUCGCCGUCGCAUUCCUGGUUGUCGUCGUGAAUGCCUUCUUUCUCCCCGCAAAUAGAUGUGUCACAUUCAGUGAACUAGGCGUGUGCUUUCAGUAAAAUAGUUGGCUGGACCCAAAUUUUUCAAGCUUUGUCAGUUCGAAAUUAGCAUGGUCACAGUAAUUAAGAAAAUAGUUGGCUGGCCGGUGUUGUAUGUAAAAUAAUAGUAUGGAUUAAGAUUAUUUAAGCAUUGUCAGUUGAAUCUUAUCAUUGGCAUUGACAUGUAAAUUAAGAAAAUUUUAAUCGUGAUCAGUUAUUGCUGUCAAAAGUUUGAUACUUCUGAGCAGAUUGUUGUUAUUGCGGAAUAGUCAGAUAAAAUUCAUGAUCAUUGGCAGCAACAUACGAAUUUGCAUAGCAUGUGCCUGUUAUGUUACAAAAUCUGACGUUUAUCACUGAUCAUAAAUCUAUAGUUUGCAAAUGGUACAGGAUUCGUAUCUCUAAUCAUGUCCAGGAAUCAUUCAACUAGGCUCUUGGUUACAGUCAAACAUAUACAGUGAGACAUUGACAUGUAAGCAUUUAUAUAAUCAAUUUGAUGUAGGCAUAUAUAUAGUCAUUUAACUAGGCUCUUGGUUACAGUCAAAUUGAUGUAGACAUUGACAUGUACAGUAAGAUAAAUUUAAGAGCAUCCAGGAGCUCUCCCAUCUAUGUGUUCAUUUUAUCUUGCUUUUUUGCCACCUCAAUCUAGGCCAUGAUGAUGCGUUGAUUUGCUGUCGUAUUUCUCUGGUGCCCUCUAUCUGAACUAUAUUUUCUUCCUUCUUCCUUUUUGUCCAGUGAGAUGCCCUGACGAGAGGAUUCUGUUUGUUGGUAAAUCCGUAAAUGUUCCUGUUAAUUUUCUGAAUAAAUAUCUCAUCUCUGUUUUGCUACAGGUCAUAUCCAUGUGCUGGAGACAAUGGGUUUAAGAAAGCCCCCGUCUUGCUGCUGCUCAAGCAAACAGUGCGCCUGCCGGAGCUGUUGGAAGAGCACCUGACCAAGCCCGUUCUCCCUUCUCUAUUCUUCUUUGUCUUUUUUGUGUGUAUUUUGCUCUUUGUUUUGAUUUGUAUGGUUCUGAAUUAAAGGAGAGCUUUUUUGGUUGUAGAUCAUGAGGCUAUGCCUUGGUUCCAUGUGCUUAUGCCGAUCUGAACUUUGUUCCUGUUCAGAAGUGAAUAAUUGUUUCGAAUUCACGAUAUUGUCCAUGUUCAAAAAAAAUCAGAUAGUGAACAUUACAAGAAUGGUGAAUGGUGAUUA
Molecule: long non-coding RNA, 2494 nt
Organism: Triticum aestivum (bread wheat)
Lineage: Eukaryota; Viridiplantae; Streptophyta; Magnoliopsida; Poales; Poaceae
Exons: 2
Source: RefSeq, a predicted model, not a curated record